UACGGGGGGGGCAAGCGUUGUUCGGAAUUACUGGGCGUAAAGGGCGCGUAGGCGGCCUGUUAAGUCACACGUGAAAUCCCUCGGCUCAACCGGGGAACUGCGUGUGAUACUGACGGGCUUGAAUUCGGGAGAGGGAUGUGGAAUUCCAGGUGUAGCGGUGAAAUGCGUAGAUAUCAGGAGGAACACCAAUGGCGAAGGCAGCACUCUGGGACGUGACUGACGCUGAGACGCGAAAGCGUGGGGAGCAAACAGG
RNAcentral lists this ribosomal RNA (253 nucleotides) under uncultured bacterium. RNAcentral describes it as "partial 16S ribosomal RNA". It matches the Rfam family "Bacterial small subunit ribosomal RNA", at positions 524 to 776 of the family's 1533-position model. The record is from RNAcentral.